CAACAACGGAAAGGAGGUGGUCGAAUGUCUCAUUGCCACAUGCCGCUGAAGGCGGAUCGUCAGAACUCGACCGGCCUCGUAGCGGGUCGAAGCUUCUAACCUAUCGACCGUCAGCGGCUGGCAAUGGAACGGCCGCUCCAGCGAUGGAGCGGCCGU
RNAcentral lists this small RNA (156 nucleotides) under Sphingomonas sp. BK580. Its description in RNAcentral is "sRNA CC2171". It matches the Rfam family "caulobacter sRNA CC2171", at positions 1 to 138 of the family's 159-position model. Lineage: Bacteria; Pseudomonadati; Pseudomonadota; Alphaproteobacteria; Sphingomonadales; Sphingomonadaceae. The record is from RNAcentral.